CCGAAAGCCACUGCUUCUUUUCCUUCUUUCCCUUUUGAAAAGCCCCUAAGGCCAUUGGAUAGCUGAGUCUUUUGGAAAAGCAGAACAGUCGGUGUAGACUACUAGAAGGCCAUUUGCAAUCCUGUCCUGACCUAUGUGAUUCCUAUCCUAAUGGCUAGUCUUGAAGACAAGAAUGGUGACUGCAGAGAGCUAUGCCAGACCAUGCCAGGAAAGAGGCAGAAACCUGCUCAGGAAACUGCGUUUUGGAAGGCAGAAUCCUGAACACAAACAGCGGUCCUCAGUGUCUACAUUAUCCAGAGGUGACAGUUGGAGACAAAG
This 318-nucleotide long non-coding RNA is filed under the name Chinchilla lanigera (long-tailed chinchilla). Its description in RNAcentral is "lncRNA (ENSCLAG00000026153.1)". Lineage: Eukaryota; Metazoa; Chordata; Mammalia; Rodentia; Chinchillidae. The record is from RNAcentral.